This 72-nucleotide transfer RNA is filed under the name Hofstenia miamia. RNAcentral's name for it is "tRNA-Cys for anticodon GCA". It matches the Rfam family "tRNA". Rfam says of the family: Transfer RNA (tRNA) molecules are approximately 80 nucleotides in length. Their secondary structure includes four short double-helical elements and three loops (D, anti-codon, and T loops). Further hydrogen bonds mediate the characteristic L-shaped molecular structure. tRNAs have two regions of fundamental functional importance: the anti-codon, which is responsible for specific mRNA codon recognition, and the 3' end, to which the tRNAs corresponding amino acid is attached (by aminoacyl-tRNA synthetases). tRNAs cope with the degeneracy of the genetic code in two manners: having more than one tRNA (with a specific anti-codon) for a particular amino acid; and 'wobble' base-pairing, i.e. permitting non-standard base-pairing at the 3rd anti-codon position. Lineage: Eukaryota; Metazoa; Xenacoelomorpha; Acoela; Hofsteniidae. The record is from RNAcentral.
GGGUCCAUAGCUUAGUGGUAGAGUAUUUGACUGCAGAUCAAGAGAUCACUGGUUCGAAUCCGCCUGGGCCCU